Molecule: transfer RNA, 72 nt
Filed under: Camelus bactrianus (Bactrian camel)
Lineage: Eukaryota; Metazoa; Chordata; Mammalia; Artiodactyla; Camelidae
Also listed under: 3 other names
Rfam family: tRNA
About the family: Transfer RNA (tRNA) molecules are approximately 80 nucleotides in length.
Source: Rfam by way of RNAcentral
GAAGGUAUAGCUUAGUGGCAGAGAAUCUGCCUUGCAUGUACAAGGUCCUGGGUUCAAUCCCCAGCACCUCCA